GCCAAGAGUGUUUUCAUUAAUCAAGAACGAAAGUCAGAGGUUCGAAGGCGAUUAGAUACCGCCCUAGUUCUGACCGUAAACGAUGCCAACUAUCGAUCCGCCUGUGGACCCAAAAUUCAUAGGCGGGGAGGUCGCCGGAAACGAAAGUCUUUCGGUUCCGGGGGAAGUAUGGUUGCAAAGCUGAAACUUAAAGGAAUUGACGGAAGGGCACCACCAGGAGUGGAGCUUGCGGCUUAAUUUGACUCAACACGGGAAAACUCACCCGGCCAGUACAUCGUAAGGAUUGACAGAUUGAAAGCUCUUUCAUGAUUCGGUGAAUGGUGGUGCAUGGCCGUUCUUAGUUCGUGGCGUGAGUCGUCUGCUUAAUUGCGAUAACGAGCGAGACUCCGAUUGUUAACUAGUCGAGGCGUUGAUUCGUCUGCACCUCCGACUUCUUAACGAGAUCGGGCGCUUCAAGCGCCAAGAGAUGGAGCAAUAACAGGUCUGUGAUGCCCUUAGAUGUUCGGGGCUGCACGCGUGCUACAAUAGUAGCAACAACGGGAUUGUCCUCGCCCGACAGGGCUUGGCAAACCGCUGAGAUGUUAUUAUGGCUGGAAUUGAGUGUUGAAAUUCUCUCUCAUGAACGAGGAAUUCCAAGUAAAUGCGAGUCAUCAACUCGCAUUGAUUACGUCCCUGCCCUUUGUACACACCGCCCGUCGCUGCCCGGGACUGAGUUAUUUCGAGAAAUCCACGGAUUUGCGGGCCUCGGCCACGC
RNAcentral lists this ribosomal RNA (754 nucleotides) under Robustodorus subtenuis. RNAcentral describes it as "SSU rRNA". It matches the Rfam family "Eukaryotic small subunit ribosomal RNA", at positions 957 to 1734 of the family's 1831-position model. Lineage: Eukaryota; Metazoa; Nematoda; Chromadorea; Rhabditida; Aphelenchoididae. The record is from RNAcentral.